UAACGCGAAGAACCUUACCAGGUCUUGACAUCUUUUGCUAACCUAAGAGAUUAGGCGUUCCCUUCGGGGACGGAAUGACAGGUGGUGCAUGGUUGUCGUCAGCUCGUGUCGUGAGAUGUUGGGUUAAGUCCCGCAACGAGCGCAACCCUUAUUGUCAGUUGCCAGCAUUUAGUUGGGCACUCUGGCGAGACUGCCGGUGACAAACCGGAGGAAGGUGGGGAUGACGUCAAAUCAUCAUGCCCCUUAUGACCUGGGCUACACACGUGCUACAAUGGACGGUACAACGAGUCGCGAAACCGCGAGGUCAAGCUAAUCUCUUAAAGCCGUUCUCAGUUCGGAUUGUAGGCUGCAACUCGCCUACAUGAAGUUGGAAUCGCUAGUAAUCGUGGAUCAGC
This 395-nucleotide ribosomal RNA is filed under the name uncultured bacterium. RNAcentral's name for it is "bacterial SSU rRNA". It matches the Rfam family "Bacterial small subunit ribosomal RNA", at positions 957 to 1353 of the family's 1533-position model. The record is from RNAcentral.